AACCUACUCUCUCCGUUCCGAAUUAUUUGUUGCUGGUAUGGAUGUAUCUAGAUGUAUUUUAGUUCUAGAUACAUCCAUUUCUACGACGAGUAAUUUGAAACAGAGAGAGUAGGAG
This is a non-coding RNA of Triticum aestivum (bread wheat), 115 nucleotides long. The record is from Rfam. NCBI's taxonomy places the organism in Eukaryota, Viridiplantae, Streptophyta, Magnoliopsida, Poales, Poaceae.